This 2519-nucleotide long non-coding RNA is filed under the name Mytilus galloprovincialis (Mediterranean mussel). The record is from RNAcentral. Lineage: Eukaryota; Metazoa; Mollusca; Bivalvia; Mytilida; Mytilidae.
CAAUAUACAAUGUAUAUUCACUUUUACUACCAACUGAUAAAUUAAAACAAUUACCAUUCAGUGAUAACAAGCACUUUAUUUUACAUUUUAAUAUUUCAUGAUGUAUUUAAAUGAGUAGUUAUUGUUGCAAACUCCAUUAGAAAUUUGAAUUGAGAUCAGUUUUGGGGAAAGGGGGAUGUGAAAAAAAAUGGGGUGGGGGGGGUAAAUUUUUCUCAUUUCAGAUUUCAUAAAUAAGAAGAAAAUUUCUUCAAACAUUUUUUUGAGAGGAUUAAUAUUCAACAGCAUAGUGAAUUGCUCAAAGGCAAAAAAAAUAUUUUAAGUUCAUUAGACCACAUUCAUUCUGUGUCAGAAACCUAUGCUGUGUCAACUAUUUAAUCACAAUUCAAAUUUAGAGCUGAAUCCAGCUUGAAUGUUGUGUCCAUACUUGCCCUAACCGUUCAGGGUUCAACCUCUGCGGUCGUAUAAAGCUGUGCCCUGCAGAGCAUCUGGUUAGUUUCUGUUUGACUCAACUAAAUUUAAUGAAAUGUGUAUAUAAUGCUUAUUCAAUUUUUGGCAGCUUCAAUUUGCAGUUCUUGAGUUAUGUCCCUUUAUAAUGUUAAAUGCUAGUGGGGGCAUCAUCUGUGUCCUUUUGGACACAUUCCCCAUUUUUUUUUUAGAAGUUAUUAUUAAUUAAUACAAAUUUUAACCAUGACUGUAUGGCAUUUUAUAUUUUAAUAUUUUAUGAUGUAUUUAAAUGAGUUUUUAUUGUUGCAAACUCCAUUAGAAAUUUGAAUUGAGAUCAUUUUUGUCGAGCCUGCAACUUUUGUUGCAGAAAGCUCGACAUAGGGAUAGUGUUCAGGCGGCUACGGCGGCGGUGGCAGCGUUAGCUAACUUCUUAAAAACUUUAUAUUUUAGAAGGUAGAAGACCUGGAUGCUUCAUACUUUGUAUAUAGAUGCCUCAUGUUACGAACUUUCCGUCAGUCACAUGUCCAAUGUCCUUGACCUCAUUUUCAUGGUUCAGUGACUACUUGAAAAAAAAGUUAAGAUUUUUUUGUAAUGUUAAAUUCUCUCUUAUUAUAAGUAAUUGGAUAACUGUAUUUCGUAUGUGCGUACCUUGCAAGGUCCUCAUGCCCGUCAGACAGUUUUCACUUGACCUCGACCUCAUUUCAUGGAUCAGUGAACAAGGUUAAGUUUUGGUGGUCAAGUCCAUAUCUCAGAUACUAUAAGCAAUAGGUUUAGUAUAUUGGGUGUAUGGAAGGACUGUAAGGUGUACAUGUCCAACUGGCAGGUGUCAUCUGACCUUGACCUCCUUUUCAUGGUUCAGUGGUUAUAGUUAAGUUUUUGUGUUUUGGUCUGUUUUUCUUAUACUAUAUGCAAUAGGUCUACUAUAUUUGGUGUAUGGAAUGAUUGUAAGGUGUACAUGUCUAGAUGACAGAUGUCAUCUGACCUUGACCUCAUUUUCAUGGUUCAGUGGUCAAAGUUAAGUUUUUGAGUUUUGGUCUAUUUUUCUAAUACUUUAUGCAUUAGUCAACUAUAUUUGGUGUAUGGAAAUAUUUUAUGAUUUAUAUGUCUGUUACGCAGGUUUUAUUUGACGUUGACCUCAUUUUCACAGUCCAUUGCUAAGUGUUAAGUGUUUGUGUUUUGGUCUGUUUUUCUUAAUUUAUAAGCAAUAAGUCAACUACAUUUGUUGUAUUGAAGAAUUGUUAGCUGUACAUGUCUGCCUGGCAUGGUUAAUCUGACCUUGACCUCAUUUUAUGGUUCAUUGAUCAAUGUUUCGUUUUCUUUGGUUAAUGUUGAGUUUAUGUGACAGUUGUAAUAAAGCUUUAUAUUUAGGUCUAUCAACAUAAUGUCAAUGAUUAGUAAAGAAGGCGAGACAUUUCAGCGUGUGCACUCUUGUUUGAAUAAGGUAAAGGGGGAAGUGGAAAAAAAAUUGGGGUGGGGGUCAAUUUUUUUUCUCAUUUCAGAUUUCAGAAUUUAAAAAGAAUUUUUUUUCAAAUAUUUUUUCUUUUGAGAGAAUUAAUAUUCAACAGCAUAGUAAAUUGCUCAAAAGCCAAAAAAAAAAAUUUAAGUUCAUUAGACCACAUUCAUUCUGUUUCAGAAACCUAUGCUGUGUCAACUAUUUAAUCACAAUUCAAAUUCAGAGCUGCAUCCAGCUUGAAUGAUGUGUCAAUACUUGCCCCAACCGUUCAGACCUCGACCUCUGCAGUCGUAUAUAGCUGUGCCCUGCAGAGCAUCUGGUUGUAUGGUAUAAUAUACAUGUAGUAUAUCUUUUACUGGAACAGUUCAAUGCAGGAAUUUUGUUAUCCUGUCCUGGGACUAUUACACUGUCAGAAUUUUCAACAUUAAUCGUUUUUGUUUACUAGUACAUUUUGUAGUUUUAUUUCAUAAAUCUGUAUUCAAUACAGAUUCAUACAGGGGAGAAAAAAUUACCAUUACAGAUAGCAUAAUUAUCUAGUAUUGAAAUAUUUGAAUUCUGAUUAAUAGGAAAAUUAAUGUACAUGUAAAGAAUUAAAUAACAAAUAAAAUAUCUUUUAGAGUUA